Molecule: ribosomal RNA, 557 nt
Filed under: uncultured Phyllobacterium sp.
Lineage: Bacteria; Pseudomonadati; Pseudomonadota; Alphaproteobacteria; Hyphomicrobiales; Phyllobacteriaceae
Description: bacterial SSU rRNA
Rfam family: Bacterial small subunit ribosomal RNA
Source: RNAcentral
ACGGGUGAGUAACGCGUGGGAAUCUACCCAUCUCUACGGAAUAACGCAUGGAAACGUGUGCUAAUACCGUAUACGUCCUUCGGGAGAAAGAUUUAUCGGAGACGGAUGAGCCCGCGUUGGAUUAGCUAGUUGGUGGGGUAAAGGCCUACCAAGGCGACGAUCCAUAGCUGGUCUGAGAGGAUGAUCAGCCACACUGGGACUGAGACACGGCCCAGACUCCUACGGGAGGCAGCAGUGGGGAAUAUUGGACAAUGGGCGCAAGCCUGAUCCAGCCAUGCCGCGUGAGUGAUGAAGGCCCUAGGGUUGUAAAGCUCUUUCACCGGUGAAGAUAAUGACGGUAACCGGAGAAGAAGCCCCGGCUAACUUCGUGCCAGCAGCCGCGGUAAUACGAAGGGGGCUAGCGUUGUUCGGAUUUACUGGGCGUAAAGCGCACGUAGGCGGACUAUUAAGUCAGGGGUGAAAUCCCGGGGCUCAACCCCGGAACUGCCUUUGAUACUGGUAGUCUUGAGUUCGAGAGAGGUGAGUGGAAUUCCGAGUGUAGAGGUGAAAUUCGUAGA